UCCAAAAGGUGUUUGAUGAAAUGU
This 24-nucleotide non-coding RNA is filed under the name Arabidopsis thaliana (thale cress). The record is from RNAcentral. Lineage: Eukaryota; Viridiplantae; Streptophyta; Magnoliopsida; Brassicales; Brassicaceae.